AUAUUCUCAUCAUAAGGUUUCGGGGGAUAAGGGGAGUUUGGUUAAGCUAAUUAUCGGUCGGAUAAAAACGUGUGUACGUGUACACGUGUGUACGUGUACACGUGUGUACGUGUGUACGUGUACACGUGUGUACGUGUACACGUGUGUACGUGUGUACGUGUACACGUGUGUACGUGUGUACGUGUGUACGUGUGUACGUGUGUACGUGUGUACGUGUACACGUGUGUACGUGUGUACGUGUGUACGUGUGUACGUGUGUACGUGUACACGUGUGUACGUGUGUACGUGUACACGUGUGUACGUGUGUACGUGUACACGUGUGUACGUGUGUACGUGUGUACGUGUACACGUGUGUACGUGUGUACGUGUGUACGUGUACACGUGUGUACGUGUGUACGUGUACACGUGUGUACGUGUACACGUGUGUACGUGUACACGUGUGUACGUGUACACGUGUGUACGUGUACACGUGUGUACGUGUGUACGUGUGUACGUGUGUACGUGUGUACGUGUACACGUGUGUACGUGUGUACGUGUGUACGUGUACACGUGUGUACGUGUGUACGUGUACACGUGUGUACGUGUGUACGUGUGUACGUGUGUACGUGUGUACGUGUGUACGUGUGUACGUGUGUACGUGUACACGUGUGUACGUGUACACGUGUGUACGUGUACACGUGUGUACGUGUGUACGUGUGUACGUGUACACGUGUGUACGUGUACACGUGUGUACGUGUGUACGUGUGUACGUGUGUACGUGUGUACGUGUGUACGUGUGUACGUGUACACGUGUGUACGUGUGUACGUGUGUACGUGUGUACGUGUACACGUGUGUACGUGUACACGUGUGUACGUGUACACGUGUGUACGUGUGUACGUGUGUACGUGUACACGUGUGUACGUGUACACGUGUGUACGUGUGUACGUGUACACGUGUGUACGUGUACACGUGUGUACGUGUACACGUGUGUACGUGUGUACGUGUGUACGUGUACACGUGUGUACGUGUGUACGUGUACACGUGUGUACGUGUACACGUGCGUACGUGUAUACGUGUAUACGUGCGUACGUGUGUACGUGCGUACGUGUGUACGUGUACACGUGUGUACGUGUACACGUGUGUACGUGUGUACGUGUGUACGUGUGUACGUGUGUACGUGUGUACGUGUGUACGUGUGUACGUGUGUACGUGUGUACGUGUGUACGUGUGUACGUGUGUACGUGUACACGUGUGUACGUGUACACGUGUGUACGUGUGUACGUGUGUACGUGUACACGUGUGUACGUGUAUACGUGUAUACGUGCGUACGUGUAUACGUGUAUACGUGCGUACGUGUGUACGUGUGUACGUGUGUACGUGUGUACGUGUGUACGUGUGUACGUGUAC
This 1387-nucleotide long non-coding RNA is filed under the name Felis catus (domestic cat). Its description in RNAcentral is "lncRNA (ENSFCAG00000047345.1)". Lineage: Eukaryota; Metazoa; Chordata; Mammalia; Carnivora; Felidae. The record is from RNAcentral.